Bos indicus x Bos taurus (hybrid cattle) is the source of this 279-nucleotide long non-coding RNA. The record is from Ensembl. Lineage: Eukaryota; Metazoa; Chordata; Mammalia; Artiodactyla; Bovidae.
CUGCAACCUUCCUCUAAUCUUUCUACAGUUUCACCCGGUUGUGGUCACACCUCACAAUGACCUUGGCACUGCGCCCUGCCUGCCUGGAACUCCUCUUGGCUGCCUCCCAGACACAGAGUGAAGAGCUGUGGUCAUUGGGAGGCCCUGGUCUCUUCCUUCCAUUUCCUUGGCCAUAGGUUCUUUGAUCCUCAAAGCUGUUUUCAGACGGCCAGCUGGGGACUGGAGGGCAGAUGCUGGAGCCCCUGACACCUUCCUGGGACAGGUGGGCCUCUAAGGGAG